UGGGGAAUUUUGGACAAUGGGCGAAAGCCUGAUCCAGCAAUGCCGCGUGUGUGAAGAAGGCCUUCGGGUUGUAAAGCACUUUUGUCCGGAAAGAAAUGGCUCUGGUUAAUACCUGGGGUCGAUGACGGUACCGGAAGAAUAAGGACCGGCUAACUACGUGCCAGCAGCCGCGGUAAUACGUAGGGUCCAAGCGUUAAUCGGAAUUACUGGGCGUAAAGCGUGCGCAGGCGGUUGUGCAAGACCGAUGUGAAAUCCCCGAGCUUAACUUGGGAAUUGCAUUGGUGACUGCACGGCUAGAGUGUGUCAGAGGGGGGUUAGAAUUCCACGUGUAGCAGUGAAAUGCGUAGAGAUGUGGAGGAAUACCGAUGGCGAAGGCAGCCCCCUGGGAUAACACUAACGCUCAUGCACGAAAGCGUGGGGAGCAAACAGGAUUAGAUACCCUGGUAGUCCACGCCCUAAACGAUGUCAACUAGUUGUUGGGGAUUCAUUUUCCUUAGUAACGUAGCUAACGCGUGAAGUUGACCGCCUGGGGAGUACGGUCGCAAGAUU
RNAcentral lists this ribosomal RNA (549 nucleotides) under uncultured bacterium. RNAcentral's name for it is "partial 16S ribosomal RNA". It matches the Rfam family "Bacterial small subunit ribosomal RNA", at positions 355 to 895 of the family's 1533-position model. The record is from RNAcentral.